ACGUAGGACGCAAGCGUUAUCCGGAAUUACUGGGCGUAAAGAGCGUGUAGGCGGUUGCGUAAGUCAUCCGUGAAAGCUCCCGGCUAAACUGGGAGAGGACGGGUGAGACUGCGUGGCUAGAGGGUUGUAGAGGGAUGUGGAAUUCCGGGUGUAGUGGUGAAAUGCGUAGAGAUCCGGAGGAACACCAGAGGCGAAGGCGGCAUCCUGGACAACAUCUGACGCUGAGACGCGAAAGCGCGGGGAGCAAACGGGAUUAGAGACCCCGGUAGUCCGCGCCGUAAACGAUGUGUGCUAGAUGUUCGGUUUCCUACGGGGAAUUGAGCGUCGAAGCUAACGCGAUAAGCACACCGCCUGAGGAGUACGGUCGCAAGGCUA
RNAcentral lists this ribosomal RNA (375 nucleotides) under uncultured bacterium. RNAcentral describes it as "bacterial SSU rRNA". It matches the Rfam family "Bacterial small subunit ribosomal RNA", at positions 525 to 896 of the family's 1533-position model. The record is from RNAcentral.